RNAcentral lists this ribosomal RNA (368 nucleotides) under uncultured Glomeromycotina. RNAcentral's name for it is "LSU rRNA". Lineage: Eukaryota; Fungi; Glomeromycota. The record is from RNAcentral.
UUGAAAGGGAAACGAUUGAAGUUCNGGUCGGUACCCACGAGAAUCAGCUUUUCGAAUGUGCAUUUGUGGGCGUAUGAGAUCUUCAUUGUUUGCAAUAUGUAUGUUUCUUUGGUGUACUUUUUCGUAUGGUAGGUCAACGUCGGUUUUGGUCGCCAUAAAAUGACCGGAGGAAUGUAGCUUCGGCUUCGGUUGAAGUGUUAUAGCCUUUGGUAUAUGUGGUGAUUAGAACCGAGGAUUGCAACGAAUACCUUUUAGGCUAUCCGUCUGACCUCUGAAAGUUACUUAGGUGCCGAAAGCUUGCUUAUGGUCAUUUAAGUUGACGGUCAAUAGGUUAGAACGUGAUUACAUUCGUUAAGGAUGUUGACGUA